Molecule: long non-coding RNA, 179 nt
Filed under: Mus caroli (Ryukyu mouse)
Lineage: Eukaryota; Metazoa; Chordata; Mammalia; Rodentia; Muridae
Description: sRNA (MGP_CAROLIEiJ_G0008790.1)
Rfam family: ST7 overlapping transcript 4 conserved region 2
Source: RNAcentral
GGAUGGUCUCUUUGGGAGGCAGACAGAAUUCUGCACAUAGAAUCAGCUCAUCCUAACGUAGAGGAUGCUAAGCUGUUUGGCUCUGAUUAUUCCGAAGAUCCCACUUUUCUUUUUUUUAAAUCUGUUAGCGUGACUGCUUGUCACAUUGUCAUAUUAUUGUGUUCCUUGCCUUAGGACAG